RNAcentral lists this long non-coding RNA (2220 nucleotides) under Marmota monax (woodchuck). Lineage: Eukaryota; Metazoa; Chordata; Mammalia; Rodentia; Sciuridae. The record is from RNAcentral.
UCGGGGGUUCCUGCGUUGGAAAUUUCAGAUCGAUCUUGGGUGGGCUAUCAAUUGGCUAUCAUUGACCCCAACCAUUCAUGCUGGACCUCUAGGGUAAAUGCUUCCUUCUACUGUGACAUAUCCUCUUCCACCCCCUGUGGCUCCAUCUCCGUCUCCCGGGAGCUUCAACCCUCCCAGCCCUCAGUAGCUAUAAUCUCUACUGACAUAAAGCAUUCCGAACAGCAGUUGUUAGGCUCCAUACCGGGAGUUCACCACAAUAUUCAUGGCUACGACUACUUGCCGAAACCGUAACCUUCUUAAAUCAAACCCUCCCCGCCAUUGCACCAACUCAUUGCUACUUAUGCGCCUCUCUGACUCGACCUUUGCUUGCAGUGGUUCCCUUAAACUUCUCGGCUUCUGACCUCUCAAAUUUCUCCACUCCAUCUGCCCACCAUUCUCUCCGGACCCUUUCACCUGAUGCUCCAUUAUGGGAGCCCGAGGAGUCUAACCAUACUGUGAUUCCCUGGCUCUGCCUCCUGGGCUUGGGUGUCUCCCAGUCAGAGUUUUGCACUCCAACAUCACCUUUAACUUCACCCUCUAUGCACCACUUGGCUCAUUCUUCUGGUGUAAUGGUUUUCUCACCACUAUCUUAUCCACCAACACCUCCGCCCCAUGUAUACUGGUAACGCUUGUCCCGCAAUUGACUCUCUAUGCACCUGAUGAAGUACAGGCCCUCUUGUCUCCCCCUGUGCAAAGUAGGUGGGCUGCUUUCCUUCCAGUAAUGGUGGGUCUCUCACUGGCUGCAUCUGCGGCGGGAGCAGGAAUUUCUGGUGGAGCUCUAGGACACUCCUUAUGGGCUGUACAGGACUUAAAAUUCUAAACUUGAACAAGCGCUCACUUCUACGGCAGAAUCUCUAGCAUCUUUACAAAGGCAGGUCACAUCCUUGGCUCAAGUUACUCUUCAAAACUGACAAGCUAUAGACUUAUUCACGGCCAAAAAAGGUGGAACCUGCCUCUUCUUGAGGGAAGAAUGCUGUUACUACAUCAAUGAAUCAGGCCUUGUGGAAACUAAUGUAGUCAAGCUUACCAACUUGGCUACCUCUUUGAAAAAUCCACCAAACCAAAACCCAUUUGCCACCUUCCAUUUAGCCAACUUCCAAUCAUGGCUGUUGCCUCUUUUAGGGCCCAUAUGUCUCCUUUUUCUGAUGUGUCUGUUCCUGCCCUGUCUGCUUCGCUUUCUACAGGGCCAAUUACAGAAUAUCUCUAAGCAAACUUUCAACCAGCUUCUGCUUAGGCACUAUCAGCCUCUGAUGACUGAUGAACCCCCGACAUCUUCAAGAAAACAGCUCACUCAGUGCUGAAGCUCACUACCAGGCACGAUGGAAUGCAACGGACAUCGGACAGCGGAAGACAACGAGCUGGGAGAACCUCUUAAUCUGCCACCCUGGAUUCUUGAGUCUUUAUGUCCUUUUAAGCCUCCUCAUGGCACUUGGCCUCUUCUCUGUCAGUCUCCCAACAUGGAACUUCUGCCAAAAACUGAUCUUUGCUUUAAUCUUUAUCUUCAUCCUGUUUUUGUUCGCUCUGAUCUUCUUCAGGUGCUGGUGACACUAUGUCAAGGCAACGCUUCCAAUAUUUCCUGGAGUCUCUGUUACAGGACCAAUGGCUGAUACCAACAAUCUCCUCCAUCCAGGACUGGUUCAAUGCCAUCGACGACUUGUGGCUUCAGGGAAUUUUCAUAGACUUCACCCCUACCAAAGUAGCUGUCUAUAGCCACUGGGCUUUAUUUCUGGUUGCCAUGAUAUCCCCCGACCUGCUCCCCGAACAUUCCUCCACUUCCCCUUCUAGGCCCUACGCCACCCCCACACAGCAGGAAGCAGCUGGAUCUGAACAAUGAUGCCCCAGUCCCUAAGAAAACAAAAAGGGAGGAAUGUUGGGAAAAGGUAUAAUGGCAGCCACAUCCCCAAAACCCCAACAUGGCGUCUGAGGAGCUUCUCUUCCUGCCUCUCCCUUUCCCGCCGGCGCCAAUUCUCCCACCAGUGCCAAUAUUUAAAUCCCGCUGACGGGAACCUUAGCCCCAAUAAGAACUAACUUCUUGGGCUCCGGAACUGACAUCUGGAAGAACUUACCAAUAAACAGGUGGCCCGUCAUUUACCUAAGCCCUGCCACCUCUCCUUAGAUCUAUAUAAGCCCACAGCCUUUGUAAUAAAGUGGAACCUCUCCGGUGAUUUGCGUCCUGUGGUG